AAAGCGUGCGCAGGCGGUUAUGUAAGACAGUUGUGAAAUCCCCGGGCUCAACCUGGGAACCGCAUCUGUGACUGCAUAGCUAGAGUACGGUAGAGGGGGAUGGAAUUCCGCGUGUAGCAGUGAAAUGCGUAGAUAUGCGGAGGAACACCGAUGGCGAAGGCAAUCCCCUGGACCUGUACUGACGCUCAUGCACGAAAGCGUGGGGAGCAAACAGGAUUAGAUACCCUAGU
This 230-nucleotide ribosomal RNA is filed under the name uncultured bacterium. Its description in RNAcentral is "partial 16S ribosomal RNA". It matches the Rfam family "Bacterial small subunit ribosomal RNA", at positions 562 to 791 of the family's 1533-position model. The record is from RNAcentral.